GGGUCUGUCCACCGGUCGGGCUUUUUCGGUACGCACUGUUGCGAUGGAUUCCUACCUUCUGAAUAACCGAUUUUCCAUUAAUUUAGUGGGUCGGGGAAGCAGGACUGUUACCUUGAAAAAAUUAGAGUGCUCAAAGCAGGCUAGUGCCUGAAUACAUUAGCAUGGAAUAAUAAAAUAGGACGGCAUGGUUCUAUUUUGUUGGUUUCUAGGAUCACCGUA
This 219-nucleotide ribosomal RNA is filed under the name Glomeromycotina sp. RNAcentral's name for it is "partial small subunit ribosomal RNA". The stretch from base 48 to 219 matches the Rfam family "Eukaryotic small subunit ribosomal RNA", at positions 692 to 864 of the family's 1831-position model. Lineage: Eukaryota; Fungi; Glomeromycota. The record is from RNAcentral.